AUGGCGCCGACGCCGCAGGAGGAGGCGGAAGCCGCCAAGGCGUUGGCUGAUGCGGGGAAGGGGGCUGCUGACAAGGCGGAUGCGAAGACUGCCGGCAGCAGCGAGCUGCUACCGUUGGCGGUGUCGGUAGCGCAGAGCGGGCGGCCGCGCGGGCCGCUCGUGUGGCCGCAGCUGACGAAGACAAACUACCCCAUCUGGGUGAUAAAGAUGAGGGUGGCGAUGCAGUCAGCGCGCAUCUGGGAGGCGGUGGAGCGGACGACCGCGGAUUAUGAGGUAGAUCGAGAGGCCCUGUACGCCAUCUACCAGAGCGUGCCGGACUCCUUCAUGCCGUCCCUCGCUGGCAAGGACUCGGCAAAGGCGGCGUGGGAAACCAUCCGCGCAGCGCACGUCGGUCACGACCGCGUGCAGCAGGCGAGCCUUCAGGCGAUGAGGCUUGAGUUCGAGCAGCUCAAGAUGGGUGACGCCGAGGCCGUCGACGACUUCGCAGCACGGCUGAACACCCUGGUCGCCAAGCUGCGGACACUUGAUGUGACAGCCAUUGAAGUGCAGAAAUCCGCUAGCUUCGGGACCAUGCCAUUAUCUAGCAAAAUAUUGGCAGGUUUAAAACCCUCAUGGACAAGGGGGGCAUCCUGGCAUUCCACGUGA
This 645-nucleotide ribosomal RNA is filed under the name Triticum aestivum (bread wheat). RNAcentral describes it as "partial small subunit ribosomal RNA". The record is from RNAcentral. Lineage: Eukaryota; Viridiplantae; Streptophyta; Magnoliopsida; Poales; Poaceae.